CAAUGAAGAGUCUUUCCAGGAGCUUAAUAAUGAGCAAUCCAAAUUAUCAUGUCAUCUCUUUGUCUAUUUUCAUUUGUUACUGAAAAUUCGGGCAUCAAAAUUUACACACAAUGAAAGUAGGCUUCAGUAAAAAUUCAUCCAAAGAUUAUACUACGAGACUUCUUAGAAUAAUAACAACGAGAUUUUGCAAUUCGAAGAUAGCACGAGGGAUUGUCAAUAGAAUCGGCUCAGGUAUGUUAAGGCUAUCGCUUCUUUCUUUUGGCAUGAUCCAUACGAUACGAACGAAACGUACAAAUGCACAAAUUCCAUAAUUAACUCUAUUCAUAGAAGUAUUAGAGAUAUCUAUGUUCAUGAAUCUGCAUGUGUCAUAAUAUUUUAUCAUUUGUUCAUGGGUCUCAGAAAAAUACGAAAGUUGAAAGAGUUUACUUUAUGAUAUUACUCAAAGGCAAAAUGGUCUUAUGACAUUUCGAAAGAUUUAUUAACGUACUUUUCAUGCAUUGCAUUCAUGUACAUUGAUCGUGAUCAGAUGGCAUUAUAUACGCAUAUAUAUAUGUAUGUAUAUAUAUGUAAUGGGAUAUGGGAAAGGCUAUGGCGUAUAUACGCACCACCAUCUGAUCAGAUGGUAUACGUUGUGAUUUUGCCCACAGUGGCCGAUAUUAUAUGAUGGGAUGCCCUCAGAGGCGGAUGAUAUUAUUAAACAUGUAGUUAUGCACGACAUGGCAUUCAUACGCAUAUGCAUGAUGCUAAAAGUAUUUCAUGAUUUACAUAGUUAUUCAGACUUACAGGUUGAGUCAAGUACUCUAUAUUUCUUCCAUGUCUGUUAUGUACUUAUUUAUGUGCCUGACAUACUCGGUACUUUUUUUGUACUGACGAUCUUUUUUGCCUGGGGACGCUACGUUUCAUGCCCACAGGUCCCGAUAGACAAGUCGAGAGCCCUCCAAGUAGGCUAUCAGCUCAGGGGAAGAUGUUGGUGUGCUCCAUUUGCUUCGGAGUUGCUUGUUUGGCUAGUAUGAUUUAGACGUGUAUUGUUUGGUAUGGCGGGACUCUGUCCCGACCUUUAUGACAUUUAUGUACUCUUAGAGGCUUGUAGACAUAUGUUGUGUACGUGAAAGAUUGUACGGCCUUGUCGGCCUAUGUU
This 1138-nucleotide long non-coding RNA is filed under the name Nicotiana tabacum (common tobacco). Its description in RNAcentral is "long non-coding RNA (NTAB_LNC017147)". Lineage: Eukaryota; Viridiplantae; Streptophyta; Magnoliopsida; Solanales; Solanaceae. The record is from RNAcentral.